RNAcentral lists this ribosomal RNA (614 nucleotides) under uncultured bacterium. RNAcentral describes it as "bacterial SSU rRNA". It matches the Rfam family "Bacterial small subunit ribosomal RNA", at positions 338 to 947 of the family's 1533-position model. The record is from RNAcentral.
CCUACGGGAGGCAGCAGUGGGGAAUUUUGGACAAUGGGGGAAACCCUGAUCCAGCCAUGCCGCGUGCGGGAAGAAGGCCUUCGGGUUGUAAACCGCUUUUGUCAGGGACGAAACGAUCGGGACUAAUACUCUUGGUUAAUGACGGUACCUGAAGAAUAAGCACCGGCUAACUACGUGCCAGCAGCCGCGGUAAUACGUAGGGUGCAAGCGUUAAUCGGAAUUACUGGGCGUAAAGCGUGCGCAGGCGGCUUUGCAAGACAGAUGUGAAAUCCCCGGGCUCAACCUGGGAACUGCAUUUGUGACUGCAUCGCUCGAGUGCGGCAGAGGGGGAUGGAAUUCCGCGUGUAGCAGUGAAAUGCGUAGAUAUGCGGAGGAACACCGAUGGCGAAGGCAAUCCCCUGGGCCUGCACUGACGCUCAUGCACGAAAGCGUGGGGAGCAAACAGGAUUAGAUACCCUGGUAGUCCACGCCCUAAACGAUGUCAACUGGUUGUUGGACGGCUUGCUGUUCAGUAACGAAGCUAACGCGUGAAGUUGACCGCCUGGGGAGUCGGCCGCAAGGUUGAAACUCAAAGGAUUGACGGCUGAGAGNGCGAGNGACGACGAGGGAGGAGG